This is a non-coding RNA of Pogona vitticeps (central bearded dragon), 1122 nucleotides long. The record is from RefSeq and is a predicted model, not a curated record. Lineage: Eukaryota; Metazoa; Chordata; Lepidosauria; Squamata; Agamidae.
UGAAGAUGAGAGAGUGGAGAGUCCCCUUAGCCCAGCCCCAGACCUUAAUAUGAAGGGUGCAAGUUCUGGAAAUGAGCUGCCAAGGGGUACACAAACGAAAAAAGCCAUGGCAGCCAAUGAGAACAGAAACGUCAAGAUUUGAAUGGCCACACUACGGAAAUGUCUUCCUGAAAGGUCAUGGUAAAGGCAGUGCUUAAUUUAGAAGUUACUUCCAAAUGCAGGUGUCAUCCCCUUUCACCAGCAUGGUGCAUAUGCUCACCACUACUACUGACCUUCUGGAGCAAAGCUGUUGAAGCUAAAGAGGUUCUACCGAUGUCCCUUUGUCUUUAAAUUGUCCUCAUUUCAUGCAAUGCCCCAUUGGAGAAAAGGUUAUAAAUCUCAACAGAAAGCUCUAGGAAUGAAGACUGUCAGGCGGCACAAUACUGGAAGAACAGAAGAUGGAAAAAGGGAUUUGCCUCUAAGAAUGAUACUUGAAAGAUCCUAACUCCAUCCAAAUAACUCUAUGUUGCUUAAAACACUGCAUGAAUGUUUGCAUUUGUCCAAUUUGCCCUGACAUACAGAUUUUGUCUGGAUCCUUAUCUAAUGUCUACAUAUUUGUAUGUUUUUAUUAUACAUGCAUUUUCGUAUGCCUCUUUUCUAAACACAUACAUUUUGUACAUUUUUAUCAUAAAACCACACAUCAAAAUUUGAAGAAAUGUGGAAUCUGAAGAAUUACUUGUAUUCCCAUCCAUAUAGCAGUCGAGGAAGUAUGAGUUAUGUGAGUUCCCUUAAAACUGUAGACUGAUUCAAUUUCUCCCAAAGCAUUUUUUUAUUCCUUAAUUAUCCCGUAGUCCUAGACAGAGCUGUAGACAUGGAGGCAGAAAUCUGAAACCUGCUCUUCUCAUCUGCAAGUCAGGUUCAAGUCUCCAGAACCAUUGUUAUUGUUGUUGUUGCUAUUUAUGAAGCCUGUUUUUUUUUCACUCCAUGGAAUACCAUGAAGAAAAAUAUGGAAAACUAAGCUAUUAAAACUACCAAAUAAGUUGCAUAUUAAUGCCUGAUAUUAAAUAUGGUGCAAGACUUUGAAGUAAGGAGCUUAAGAAAUUCGUCUGUUUCAAAUGUCUGAUUCCGUUUUGAGCCAAGGCC